Sus scrofa (pig) is the source of this 11389-nucleotide non-coding RNA. Lineage: Eukaryota; Metazoa; Chordata; Mammalia; Artiodactyla; Suidae. The record is from RefSeq and is a predicted model, not a curated record.
CCAGCCGCUCGGCCGGGCCGCUUCCGGAGGGCGGGCGCUGGGCGGCCGGAGGGGUGGCUGGUGGUCAGAGCGGGGAGGCGUCCCCCCCAGCCCGGGGGCCCUUUCGGGGGCGCGCCCGCCCCGCCCUCCAGGCGGGACUCGUUGGGUCCCUCUGGCGCCCCGUGGGUCCCUUUCCCAGAGCUGCACCCGCCCCCUCUCGGCUCCUGGGCGCCACGGAUAGGAGGGCAAGUCACGCGAGGACCAGCCGCGUGCGGAUCGAGGCGGAGGAGUCCGGGGCCCUGCACACGCUCCUGCCGAGGCUCUGUCGUUGGCGGGGCGCUCUCGGGGCCGCUCUCCCGGCUUCGACACUGCUGCGGGGCAGACCGUGCCCACAGACGGCUUGGGUGCAUGUUUGCCCCUGGAUCUCAGACCAGCUAGAAAUCAGUCUCUCCCUAAGACCCAGGCUUCUGAGGGCGAGCGAGGUUUCCAGGGACGGUGCAUACCCAAAACUUCGUGUUAGGAGAGGCCUGGGCCAGAGUGUGAAGGCGCUGCAGUGAAGUCGCACAGCAGAUGGCUUGUAUCAUCCUCAGUUCUGGCUCCCGCCUGAUGCUGAAGACAGCCUCCUCCCAGAAGCCACUUCCAGUCGAGCCUUCGGAGAGUGACGCUGGCCUGAAUCCAAACCAGACCCAUCAUCGAGAAGAAAGCAGGCUCUAGGUCUCGUCCAGGUGGGGAAUGUACCGUCAUUUCACCUGUUGCCUCUGUGUGGGAGAGCAGCGGACAAGAGCCCAAGGAUCCCCUUUGACUUAAAGGGGAUUCAAAGAGUUUAUAUCUCAAAACGCAGGCCGCUUGGAAUGUUCGCAGCUAGAAGGCCGCCCUCUUGGUUGAGACAGCCUGUCAGGACACGGAGUUUCUGUCCCAGAACUUCGGUUACAAGCUCAGAAAAACGAAGAGUCUUGUCCAGAGCACAACCUCUGAAGAAGCGGAGCAACGCGGAAAUUCCCACGGCCGGGGGAUUGUGCUGCUGGCUCGUCUCCUGGCUCAUGCCGGCUUCCAGUGCUCCUUCCUCUCCCCUGGGAAUGAGAAGGAUAGAAAGGCCCGCUGGCAGAAAAGAGAUCAGACCCCGGAGGGAGAGGAGGUGCUCGGAAGGACUCCCCCAAAGAAGAGGACGUGUCUGCGGAAAAACCAACCAGAGAUGCGCUUUGACCAAAACGCACAGGAAGGAGCCCAGCCUGAGCCCUGAGGGUGAGACACGUGCCUGAGGCCUCUGGUGCUUCAUGGAAAGAUGACUUCCAGGGGUUCCCGGGUUCCCGCCCCUCCUGGGGAGGCAGCCCGAGGAACACAGCUGGGGCAGGUGCGUCUUUAAACAUCUGACGGACCCUGUUCAGCACCAGCGGGUCCCUACUGGAGAGAGGCCUUCCCCUGAGCUCGGGCGGGAAGCCGUUCCGGCACAGCUCCGACGUGACCAAACCCAGCACGUUCACACUGGAGACAAGCCCUUUCAACGCCGUGUGUGCGGCAAAGCCUUUAACUGUGGUUCACAUCCCCUAAAACACGAGCAAACCCACACUGGAGAGAAACUGGAGGGGUGUGAGGAAUGUGGGGGGACCUUCACCCCAGCUCGUGUCUCAUUCGCCGUCGGAAACGUCACCCGCGGAAGAAGCACUGAUGGGGGUGAGUCAUCCGCCAGAUGCGGGCAGGCUUUGUGGGCUCGAGACCCAUCCUGGCAGGGCUGCCCUGGCGCCCCCUCGAUCAGGCCUUGUCCGCUCAGGCCGGGGGUCCCACCCUCACCAGGAACACCCAGGUCUGGCUGGAGACCUCCAUCAUGUCACUACGAUGACAAGGACGCUUCUCACAGCUGCGGCACCAGAGGCAGGCUUCGGGCCCUGGCACAGCCCCCACCUCCCGCUGCUGCCUCCGCCUGUGGCGCCCACGCUGGCUCCCCAACCACUGCUCCUUUGGAGACUGGUCUGCAGCCUCUCAGCCCUCAGCGUCCUGAGUCCAUCUCCAUGUGGCCUGGCCCCGAGCUGGACGGCAGUGCUUUGCAAUGAGCUCCAGGGACCCCGCUGUCCCCCGGCUGGCUGUGGUGGCAGUGCUGGGCCUCGUCCUCUGCCUUCCCGCCUCGGCUGGGGCACCGCUUGAACGCGGCCCCCCUCCCCAGGAACUGGACCCCCUGUGGUCCUCCCAGCUCAGCCCCCAUCCCAGGUGAACCACCGUGACACCAAAUGCUACCACCACGCGAGAUCCCUGCCCUGGCCACGCGGGGCCCUGGGACGCCCAUGACAGCUGGGAUCCCUUCAGACGCCAGGCGGUGGGUCCGUCCCCAAGGCCAGCUCUCCGUUCAGGUUUGUCCCACUUCUGCGGGCCUCACCCCCAUCCUGCCCCCGUCACGUCCACAUGCCGGGCCUGCCCGUGGUUCCCUCCGGGAGGGGUCUGGACGGCCUCUGUGCUCUCCUGGGGGGGGGGUGUGCUCUGUCCCAGCGUUUCCGGGUGGUGUGGGAGGGGCAAGGCCACUGCCACCCAGGAGGGAAAGUAGCUUUUUAAUAGGAAAAUGCUGAUAUUUAGGUUUUCAGCAGUUCGGACCCAGAAAACAGAGCAGCCUUCGUCGCGGGGGCUCCUCUGUGAGGAGAGGGGUCGGGGCUCCCGGGACAAGUGUCUCCCCAGUCUGACAGGCGCUGACCUCUUCUCCGUAAAAGCUGCGACGGCAGAGCAGCUCUGCCCGCGCUGGCGCCUCCGCCCAGGCUCGGCAGGCCCCCUCCCACGCGGCAGCCGGCCCAGGUGACGGGCUAACCUGCCGCCCGCGGUCCUGCUCUCACCGACCAAGAGAUGGCGGGGCGCUGAGGCAGAAUCUCCGAGCAGGUGCUGGGCUGGCCUGGGGGGGACACGCCUUUGGUCCCGGGUGGGGCAGGUGCUGUGAGGGACGCGACUGGGACGUCUGGCAAACUUGAGUCCAGACUGUCCCCGGGGGGGGGGGACGACACACAGGGUCACUGCUCCCCAGUCCAAGGGCCUGUGGCCGUCCCAGACAGCAUCCUCGUCACGAAAAUGUACGCGAAGGUCACGGCCUUCAGGCCACGGCGUCCUGAUGGAAGUUUGCGCAGAGGCUGACAAGGGAGCGACGACAGCAGGACCCACACGGACCCUGAGCGGUGGCGACGCAGACCGGCUCAGCGUCGGGCGUCCCUGAAUCUAGACCCAGGGCUGGCAGGCCUUUGCUGUGAGGGGCCCGAGGCGGGUGGUUCCCGGCUUGUGGGCACGAGGUCCCGUCCCGACGCAGCUCAGCGGUGCCAGGCAGAGGCCGGCGUGCGUAUCCGCGGAGCUUUGCUUCCAGAAGCAGGAAGGUGGGGCUGGGGCGAGCGAGGCCCCAUGUGCUGGGAGUCCCGAGGUCCUGCAGACCCAGCGUCGGCAGGAGGAGGCCUGGGCGCGGGGAGGGGCGGGGAGACGCCCAGAGCCGGCCCCGCCGUUGGCCUUGCUGCACCGGGGAGAGGCCGUGGAGGCGGCCGUCAGCCGUGCCGCUCCCGCGGGCCGGGGGCUCUGCAUCCGCUCCACCCGGUUCCCUCGGAUGGCUGCUGACUUGCCCUGACGGAGGUAUUUUGUGUGGAGAGCAUCGUGUGACGUGCACCCGAGCUUACGGUGCUUCACGCGCAGAGAGAAGAGCCGCCGUUGUCUAUGUAACCCCGUUUCCAUGUCAUUUCCCACGGAAAAGCCCUCUUUCUGUGGUUGCCUGACAAUCCGUGGAUUAGAAACAUUGAUUUAGGAGUUCCCGUCGUGGCUCAGUGGUUAGUGAACCCGACUGGCAUCCGUGAGGACAUGGGUUCGAUCCCCGGCCUCUCUCAGUGGGUUAAGGAUCUGGCGUUGCCGGGAGCUGGGGUGUAGGUUGCAGACGCCGCUUGGAUCCUGCGUUGUUAUGGCUGGGGUGUAGGCCGGCAGCUGCAGUUCGGAUUGGACCCCCAGCCUGGGAACCUCCAUGUGCCAAGGGUGCGGCCCUAAAAGGCAAAAAAAAAAAAAAAUUUGCUCUAACCAUCUCCUGACAAGAGCCUGUAGGCCGUUUCCCGUUUAGGUCGUUAUAAACAAUGCAGCAUCUCCUCCACAUUUAGGGCCAACGGGGUGGGUCUCCAGACGUGAACUGCAGGGAGAGAGCGUUCUGGCAAAUUCUGCUGCCUAAGUGCCCCAGCAGUGCACAGACAGCAGGUGAGGUCUCAUCUCGCCGGGCUGGUAGAGGAGAAGCAGCUUCUGAUGUGACACCUUCGAUUCCUAAAGAGGAAGUGGGCGGCCAGGUGCUCAGUCUCUUGGGCCAGAGACGAGGGACCCCGGGCCAGUCCUGCUCCUCGUGCUUCGCGUUCCCCCGGGGGGACGCUGACAGCGCUCGCCUGUGGCUGUGACGUCCUCAGCGCGGCGCUGGCCCCAGGGGUCCGCCACUGUCCUCUGGUCAUGUGUCCUCAGCGAGGGGACGUUUGCCUCCCGGCGUGAGAGGGCGGCGCCGGCUGGCGGCCUCCGUGCUUCUCUGAGGAAAGCGAAAUCAACCCGGAAGACAACGGAAAAGUGAUUUUUUUAACAGGAGACAUGAGGAAAAUGACACGGCCAAACUAAAACCACUUCAUGAGCUUCUUCUUUUGCUCUUUAAUGGCCACACCCACUGCACAUGGAGCUCCCGGGCCGGCAGUGGCAUCCAGGCCACGGCUGCUGACCUGCGCUCGUGGCGUUUUUGCCUCGUGGCGUUUUGGUCAAGACGGGAGGGCUCACUUCCUGCUUCUUCCGAGUUAACCAUCAUGACGCCACACCAUCGCCAAGCUCUGAAGCCGAGUCUUUCAGAUUCAUCGGAUUUGAUGGGUUGUUUUGGGGGGUUUGUUUGUGUUUGUUUUGCUCUUGCUAUUCAAGUGAAACUCAAAUUCCAGGAACAAGAAAACCUGUUACCUGAGUCAAAGGAGAAAACAUAAUAAAAGUUAUGAAACACUUGGGGUCCCAUCGUGGCUCAGCUGUGUAACAAACCCGACUAGUAUCCAUGAGGACACAAGUUUGAUCACUGGCCUUGCUCAGUGGGUUAAGGAUCCGGUGUGGCCGUGAGCUGUGGUGUAGGUCGCAGAUGAGGCUCAGAUCCCGCGUUGCUGUGGCUGUGGUGUAUGCUGGCCGUUGUAGCUCUGAUUUUGAGCCCUAGUUUGGGAGCCUCCAUAUGCCGCCGGUGCAGCUCUAAAAAGACAAAAAUUACAGUUAAAAUUUUUAAAAGUCAUAAAAUACUUAAACCGUAAUGAUAAUGAAAAUACAACUUGCCAGAACCUCUGCAUGCAGCUAAAGCGAGACGGAAAUUUGUAGCCUUACGUGGUCAGCAGAGCUGGAAGUCUACAGGCUGUACAUCCCAAAGGGAAAAAUGGCAGAGUUCCCGUCGUGGCUCAGUGGGUUACAGGCCCGACCAGUAUCCAUGAAGAUGUGGGCUUGAUUCCUGGCCCUGCUCAGUGGGUUAAGGAUCCGGUCACGGACGCAGCUCGGAUCCUGCGUUGCUGUGGCGCAGGCUGGCAGCUGCAGCUCCAAUUUGACCCCUAGCCUGGGAACCUCCCAUGGAUACCACUGAGAGAAUUUAAAAGCAAAAGUCGGUUCUUUGACAGGACUGCGGAAACUGACAAUCCCUGGCAGGGGAUCCAGGGAGAGAGAAGGGGCAGAGACUAAAACGCUAAACCGGCAAGUCAGGAGAUGGGAGAACUUGGAUGAAGCGGGUUACGGAAGAUGAGUUACUGAAGCCGACGCCGGAGGGAACAGCCCGCAGACCCUCUAAGCCCCAGACAGACUUGCAUCCAUAGAUCACAGUCUCGCUCGCGGUGACGGCAAGUCCAGAUGGUGCGCAAGUGACUCAGGAAGCAGGUGCCUCCCACGCCUCCCAGGCAGUGAAGAGGAGACACUCCUGCCUUCCUUUAUGAGGCUCGUAUAACACGCUGCCACAGUGACAGCUCAGUGCCACCUGCUUAGAGAUGAAAAAGCGCUAAACAAAACACUGCAGAUAAAAUCCGGAGUGAUUAAGAGGGACUGUGGCAGGACCGUUCUUUUUCUAGAAAGGCAAAUUUGGCUCAAAAUGGGUGUGAUCUCUCACAUUUUCAGUUUUACGGAGAACUGGGGCACCAUAGUGUCAUCUCAACAGCCGCGGAAAAUAUUUGCUAAAAUUGGACAUCCACUCGUGAUUAAUAUCUCUUCACCCACACGGACUAUAAUGGACGUUUCCCAACCGGAUGUAGGACGUCUCCCAAAACACGCAGCAAGCGAACCUUAGGCUUAGGUGUUAAACGUUUGCAAACAGGAGCAACGCGGAUCGGCCGCCGUCACCCCUGCUCUUCCAUGUCGGAGAUUCCGGCCGGGGCAGUGAGACAAGGAGUGAAGCCCAGGAGCAGCCUUAGGAGGGCAGCCCUUACCUGUCAUUCUCAGCGGCUGCCACUGCCUGCAUGUGGCCAUGGAAGUGACCACCAGCUGUGGAGAUCAUUUAUGAAGGGCUCGUUUAGCAAGACUGUCACAGGGAGCAACAUGCAGAAACCGGCGGAGGUUCACCCCUGGGAAGAGUGGACGCAGGGACUCAAGCAGAUGUCUUCACACCGACAUCACGUCAGCAGGACUCACGGUAGCCUCUGGUGGGACCCACAGACGGGUCCCUCAGCCAGUGAACAGGUAAACGGCGUGGGCCGUGCACACGGAGGCAUAGUAGCCGCAGGAGGAACCGGGCACCUACACGCGACGCCGGGGAUAAACCUUGAAGACACGAUGCUUGGUGAAAGCCAGGCACGAGGGACACAUACUGAGCGACUCCUUUUAUACGAGGUCCCCAGAGCAGGCAGAUGCACAGAAAGUGGAACGCUGGGGCCUUGCUGGGCUCAGAGGUGCGGUCGGGAGGGUGAGAAGGUUUGGGGUGUGGGUGGUGGACAUGGAUACACAGCAUUGUGAGUAUUUAACGCCACUGACUUCGUCACACAGGAUGCACUAUUAACAAAACUCAACGUUUACAAGCUGUUAUCGAGGAGUUCCCGCUGUGGCACCCCAGGAUCGACAGCGUUACCGCUGCAAGUGCCCACGUGCGUGUGCCCAGAGCCACGUCCUUACCGCACGGCUGGCUCUUCUCCCAGCAGAGGGACCCCGUGCUGAUUGUCCUGCUUCGUUUAGUCCAAAGGAACGUCCGUCCUUUUCAGGUUGUGAGAGCAGAUGGGCCCCAAAGCCAGAAACAGGCGUAGAAAAGAACCCCAGAACCAGCAGCGGGACCGCGUUCCUCGGCUCCAGGGAGGAACGGAGAUGAGAGGAAGGAAGAGAGGCCGUGUGGGGAGGAAAGGCCCCGGCCGCCCAUGUCCUGACCGCGGGCUCAGGCCGUGCUGAGCUCGGAGUCUGCUGCCUCCUGGCUCCCAAGGCACAAACUGCAGCCACGUCUUGGCGACCACGAAGCCACUGCUCCACCCCUUGUCCAGAGUCCCUGUCCAGAGUCCCUGCAGGGUCCAGGCCCAGGCACAGGCCGAGGCUGACGCUGCAGACUCUGCAGCCAGGGGUGUCCAAGGCCUGAGGCCAGGCAUCCCAUGGGGUGAGCUCCCAGGCACCUUGGGCCCAGCACACACACCCUCGAGCUUCCUGUGGCAUGUGACUGUGUCACUGUGGCCUCUCCCAUGAGGCACUCAGUUCAUCCCUAUUUUUUUUUUUAUUUUUUUUUUUACUUUUUAGGGCCACACCUGCAGCAUAUGGAGGGUCCCAGGCUAGGGGUCUAAUGGGAGCUACAGCUGCUGGCCUGUACCACAGCCCCAGCAACACAGGAUCUGAGUCUCAUCUGUGACCUACACCACAGCUCACAGCAACGCUGGAUCCUUAACCCACUGAGCAAGACCAGGGAUCGAACCUGUAACCUCAUGGUUCCUAGUCGGAUUUGUUUCUGCUGCGCCACGACGGGAACUCCUGGUUGUUCCCUUUUGGUUCCACUCUUGGGGUUACUGGAAGCUGGAGCACACGGGGUACCGGACUCCUCUCGUGCUCCCUGGCGAACUGGGGUGGCUGUGGGCUGAAAACAGUCGCUUGCAGCUGGCGGUCCUGGGCCUCUGCUGGUGUAGAUGCUUUCUCCAGUCUAGUUUUCCCCGCUGGUUUUUUUUUUUUUUUUUUGGCCACCCCCACAGCAUGUGGAAGUUCCCGGGCCAGGGACUGAACCUGCGCCAGAGCAGUGACCUGAGCCACCGCAGUGACCUCGCUGGGUCCUUGACCGCUGGGCCACCAGGGGAUGCCCUGCUGUUGUUUUCACUGUUUAGAGACGCAGCUGCCCAGCUAGUCAAGGUCGUUGCACUUCUGCUUCAUUGUAUCUUCACUCCCGUCAUCGUCAUCCGGAGACAGGAAGCGUGGCCUUCGUGUGGGCCGGUGUUCCUCCCUUCGCGGCUCUCUUGUCACGCGGUCCUCUGAACCCACAUGGUGCUGCCCUGCCCCCCACGUCUCUUCCCAGCAGCCCCAGCGUCCGUCACAGGACGUCCUUUGUCCUGCUGCCUCUGGAUCUUGCUUUCUCCCACAGUGAAUGUCUGACCCGCCCUGUUGGCUGCAUUCAGCUGCUCUUCCUGCAGCCAGGAUUUCCCAGGGAGGCCCCCCUGCUGGCAUCUCCCAGCCCCAGGCCUGCAGAGCCAGAGACCUGGUGGUCGCUGCCCCUGGAUAGGUCUCUUGGGGGCCACCUCACAUUAACCAGACUUGUAGGAGGCCAACACACAAAUCAGAAAAGGAACGUGGCGUUCCUGUCGCAGCUCAGGGCUUUAUGAGCCCAACUGCUAUCCGUGAGGAUGCGGGUUCGAUCCCUGGCCUCGUUCAGUGGGUUGAGGAUCUGGUGUUGUCUUGAACUGUGGUGUGGGUCUCAGAUGUGGCUUGGAUCCCGCGUUGCGGUGCCUGUGGUGUAGGCCAGCAGCUGUAGCUCUGAUUUGAGCCCUAGCCUGGGAACCUCCAUAUGCCACAGCUGUGGCCCUAAAAAGACAAAAGACAAAAAAAAAAAAAAAGAAUGUGCCAACUUAGAAUGGGCACGGCGCCUCCCUGUGACACAAUGCGUGUCCCUCGAUAGACACCCCCCGCCCCGCCCCUGGGUGCAGGCUCCCCCGCUGUCCGGAAGCCAAGGCACCAGGGACACCCUCCGAAGCCGAAAUGGCUCAAAGCGCAGAGGCGCUCGGGCCCGUCUUGCUCGCGGAGCAGGGACAAGAGGAGAUGCAGCACAGAGGCAAGUCCUGGCCCUGGCGCCUGUGCUGAGGGGUGGUUCCAGGAACAAGCGUGUCAGGAGCCGCCCUCGCUGCGUCUGGAAAAGCUGCUACGUGACAGCUGAGCACGCUUCACUUUUUACCUUUAUUCAGAAAGGCUAAAAUACUCUUUGGAUUUGUUGGGGAACGGGUACGCACGUGGGUCUUUCAUAAAAGUGAAGUCGCAUGAGGCAGACUGAAAAACCGGGGGUGGGGGGACCUCUCUACCUGGAGGACUCAGGCUCUGUCGUUGCCCAGACCCCGCAGUCACCCCCCGCGGCAGCUCUGCCCUGACUGCCCUCCUGUGCCCCUACCUGCCUUGUUACAGCCCCUCUUCUCGCAAGGGGCAGUCCUGCCCUCAGAAGGGGACGCUGGUGAUAUCUGGGGACGUUUUGCGUGUCACAACCGAGGAGAGGUGCUGCUGGGACGUUAGGUGAAGAGCUAAAGGCAAGGUUCAGGAGGGCCGAGGUUCAGAAGCUGGAAGACUGGAGGGGGCGGCUUUCAGCAGAAGCACCUGCACCUGGCAAGGCGCCCCUGAAGGUUGGGAAGGGCCUGGGGACGGGGCCCAGGUCCCCCUGAAGGGGUUGCAGAGGAAGGCAGGAAUGUGGUGAUGGGCCAGAAGUCUUGGUAGCAGUAAUUAGAACCCAAGGUCUCCCGCCUCACGGCAAACAGAAGCCCCCACCCCACCCCCCUGAAACUAAACCAGGGGGCCGACGAGGGAACAGGGGAGAGUCCAGCCCCCAGGCGCCUCCGUCCACCGCCAGGGAGGAUGCUCCAGACAGAAGGAGGUUGUGCGCUCCUGUCACAAGCCCCUCCUCGCUACCAGCUCCCUGACUCCGUCCCCGACUCCAUCUGCGGAAGCAGCCACCAGCCACACUCCAGCCUGAGCCCCACGUCCCAGCCAGCAGCGCGUGCUGUCAUUUGUGUCCACCAACGGGGCCCCACCGAGCCUCCUCUCCCCGCCCGUCCCUCCCCUUCACUCCUGCCUCUCCGCCGCCGCCGCCCCCAAACUGGUCUUAGCUGCACUCUUCACUCCCCAGCUCAGGGCCUGCAGUGGCUCCUGGUGCACAGAGAAUGAAAUCCGGGCUCCUGACUGGCUUCAAAGGGUCCGGCCCGUUCUGUUCCCCCCUUGCUCAUGACUCUCCCGCCUGCCUCGCCCUCCAAAUCCUCAGUGAUGCUCCGUGAUGCCCCAGGACCUUUGCACGCUCUUCUCUGAUUACUCUCACCUCCAGCCGUUGUGUGACUAGCUCGCCUCCUCCCUCCCUCUCUUCUCUAAUGUCACCUCCUUAACCCUUCGAGGCAGGGACCAGCUUGUGGCCCAGGGCCUGGUACUAGGUUGGGCAGGGGGGAGCAGGAGUAACUUAGAGAACCUACGGUGAGCAGGGCUGGAGGAGCAGGUGGCGGUACUAUCUCCACCCCCAGUCUUUGGCGAGAGCCAGCUCCUCCAGGCGCAGGCACCAUUUCUCCAGCGCCAGGCGGUCUGUGCGCUUCAGCCUCUCCCAGCUCUUCACCCCCCCCAGGGCAGCCCCUCCCCACACACUUGGUCCUUCUUCUGUCCAGUUUCCCUGCUGCCUCGGCCCCCGCCCUGGGACCAGAUGCCUCUUCCUCUGUGAGGUGAUGCUCAGGCUUGGGGCUGUGGCCCCUCCCUUGCUGUCUUCUUGCCAUCCCUCCCCCCAGGCUCAGGGGUAGCCGUGGGCAAGCCGCCCUGUUGGACUGCCAUCCCUACUGGACAGGUUCGUGGAAUUCUUCUCCCACUGGCUGCUGUUCCCAGCAAGAGGGGGUGACCCCUGACUUUGUUGCCAGUAUCGGCUGCCUCUGGGCACCGGUGCCAAGGAGAAUCAGAGCCGGAGUUGGAGGAAACGGAACAAGUAGCUUUAGCUGCAGGCAGAGGCCACCACAGCAGGCUAGAGCCUCCACAACUGUGUCCCCUGAGGGGGUAGUGAGGAGUCUUACGGCGUCAAGGAGCAGGGUGUGAUCCACGCCUGGACAUCUUCCUGACUGGUGGGUGGGGAGGUCCCUGGGGGUCAGCGUCAUCAGCCUCCAGGCUCCGACCUGUGAGGGGUCCACCGGCGUGUGGGCAGCACCCAGCUGACGUCUUCCACCUGGUGGGGCUCCAGCACCUCCAGACAGCUUCAAGGACAUGACUCAGAAUGUUAUCUAUAGUCCUCGAAAAAGAACUAACUAAAGGUCCUUGACUUCGUUGAAUGGCU